GCUGGAAGGUUUUGUAGGAAC
Molecule: microRNA, 21 nt
Filed under: Medicago truncatula (barrel medic)
Lineage: Eukaryota; Viridiplantae; Streptophyta; Magnoliopsida; Fabales; Fabaceae
Description: mtr-miR5204
Source: miRBase by way of RNAcentral